GCUUCUAAAGGAUAAUAGUUCAUCCACUGGUUUUAGGCACCAGAAACUCUUGGUGCAAGUCCAAGUAGUAGCU
This 73-nucleotide transfer RNA is filed under the name Rexea antefurcata (long-finned escolar). RNAcentral's name for it is "tRNA-Leu". The record is from RNAcentral. Lineage: Eukaryota; Metazoa; Chordata; Actinopteri; Scombriformes; Gempylidae.